This 541-nucleotide ribosomal RNA is filed under the name uncultured bacterium. RNAcentral's name for it is "bacterial SSU rRNA". It matches the Rfam family "Bacterial small subunit ribosomal RNA", at positions 355 to 896 of the family's 1533-position model. The record is from RNAcentral.
UGGGGAAUAUUGGUCAAUGGAGGCAACUCUGAACCAGCCAAGUCGCGUGAAGGAUGAAGGUCUUAUGGAUUGUAAACUUCUUUUGCAAGGGAAUAAAGUGGGGGACGUGUCCUCCUUUGCAUGUACCUUGCGAAUAAGGAUCGGCUAACUCCGUGCCAGCAGCCGCGGUAAUACGGAGGAUCCGAGCGUUAUCCGGAUUUAUUGGGUUUAAAGGGUGCGCAGGCGGGAUGUUAAGUCGGCGGUGAAAUUUUGCAGCUCAACUGUAAAAGUGCCUUCGAUACUGGCUUUCUUGAGUGUGGAUGAAGUAGGCGGAAUUUGUGGUGUAGCGGUGAAAUGCUUAGAUAUCACGAGGAACUCCGAUUGCGCAGGCAGCUUACUAAACCACUACUGACGCUCAUGCACGAAGGCGUGGGGAUCAAACAGGAUUAGAUACCCUGGUAGUCCACGCAGUAAACGAUGAUUACUAGCUGUUUGCGAUAUACAGUAAGUGGCUAAGCGAAAGCGAUAAGUAAUCCACCUGGGGAGUACGCCGGCAACGGUG